Molecule: ribosomal RNA, 253 nt
Filed under: uncultured bacterium
Lineage: Bacteria
Description: partial 16S ribosomal RNA
Rfam family: Bacterial small subunit ribosomal RNA
Source: RNAcentral
UACGUAGGGUGCAAGCGUUGUCCGGAAUUAUUGGGCGUAAAGAGCUUGUAGGCGGUCUGUCGCGUCGGCUGUGAAAACCCGAGGCUCAACCUCGGGCCUGCAGUCGAUACGGGCAAACUGGAGUGUUGCAGGGGAGACUGGAAUUCCUGGUGUAGCGGUGAAAUGCGCAGAUAUCAGGAGGAACACCGGUGGCGAAGGCGGGUCUCUGGGCAACAACUGACGCUGAGGAGCGAAAGCGUGGGGAGCGAACAGG